This 250-nucleotide long non-coding RNA is filed under the name Pelobates cultripes (western spadefoot toad). Lineage: Eukaryota; Metazoa; Chordata; Amphibia; Anura; Pelobatidae. The record is from RNAcentral.
CUUGGUUUUUCCACACGCUUCUUGCGACCCUGUUGACUAUUUUGAAUGAAACGCUUGAUUGUUCGAUGAUCACGCUUCAGAAGCUUUGCAAUUUUAAGAGUGCUGCAUCCCUGUGCAAGAUAUCUCACUAUUUUUGACUUUUCUGAGCCUGUCAAGUCCUUCUUUUGACCCAUUUUGCCAAGGGAAAGGAAGUUGCCUAAUAAUUAUGCACACCUGAUAUAGGGUGUUGAUGUCAUUAGACCACACCCCU